This is a non-coding RNA of Venturia effusa, 145 nucleotides long. NCBI's taxonomy places the organism in Eukaryota, Fungi, Ascomycota, Dothideomycetes, Venturiales, Venturiaceae. The record is from the annotation of a GenBank genome assembly.
GGCAAUGUGGCGGAGUGGUUAUCGCGAUAGACUAGAAUCACCCAAGGUCGCGCUAUUCACCCAUCCAUAACUGGAGACGGUCUGCGUGGCUCAGUAAGACUAUCUAUUUCCUUCGGGAGCACAGGUUCGAGUCCUGUCAUUGUCG